Molecule: long non-coding RNA, 289 nt
Filed under: Homo sapiens (human)
Lineage: Eukaryota; Metazoa; Chordata; Mammalia; Primates; Hominidae
Description: HSALNT0057292
Source: RNAcentral
GCAAUGUAAGACAUGCCUCCUUCCCCUUCCACCAUGAUUGUACAUUUCCUGAGGCCUCUCCAGCCAUAGAGAACUUUUUGGAGGCUGAGCCAUCUAGAAUUGAGGGGUUGCAACUGCUUAGCUACCUCCUGCUGCAACAUCCCAUGGCAGAAGCAGAAGUCUGUGAGUGGAUAUUCUGUUUUCACAACUCUUUGUUUAAGAGACCAUCUUUUUCCCUCUUGGCAUCCUUAUUAAAAUACAUUUCACCUUAUAUGGCAGAGUUCAUGUCUUCACUAUUUUAUUCCACUGG